This 253-nucleotide ribosomal RNA is filed under the name uncultured bacterium. RNAcentral describes it as "partial 16S ribosomal RNA". It matches the Rfam family "Bacterial small subunit ribosomal RNA", at positions 524 to 776 of the family's 1533-position model. The record is from RNAcentral.
GACGUAGGGCGCGAGCGUUGUCCGGAUUUAUUGGGCGUAAAGAGCUCGUAGGCGGCUUGUCGCGUCGACUGUGAAAACCCGCGGCUCAACUGCGGGCCUGCAGCCGAUACGGGCAGGCUAGAGUUCGGUAGGGGAGACUGGAAUUCCUGGUGUAGCGGUGAAAUGCGCAGAUAUCAGGAGGAACACCGGUGGCGAAGGCGGCGACCUGGGUAGAUACUGACGCUGAGGUGCGAAAGCGUGGGGAGCAAACGGG